UAGAGUAGGUUUUCAUGCGUGAAGUGCCGGGAGGACGGGGAGUUGCCUUUCGGACGAAAGCAACUUUGCUGCGGUGUGAAAAUCGCAUCCCGCUG
RNAcentral lists this non-coding RNA (95 nucleotides) under bovine gut metagenome. Its description in RNAcentral is "THF riboswitch". It matches the Rfam family "THF (Tetrahydrofolate) riboswitch aptamer". From Rfam's summary of the family: THF riboswitch presents a pseudoknot that joins P1-P2 and the loop of P3 and two THF binding. The record is from RNAcentral.